CCUGGUAGGUGGCUGUGGAGGGAGGGCUUGGGAUGCCGGGACCAUCCCAGGACCCCGUUCCAUGGCCCUGCUUGUCCCCAUUUCCCGCGACAGCCACCUACGUGAAGG
This is a non-coding RNA of Taeniopygia guttata (zebra finch), 108 nucleotides long. NCBI's taxonomy places the organism in Eukaryota, Metazoa, Chordata, Aves, Passeriformes, Estrildidae. The record is from RefSeq and is marked provisional.